This is a non-coding RNA of Rhinolophus ferrumequinum (greater horseshoe bat), 74 nucleotides long. Lineage: Eukaryota; Metazoa; Chordata; Mammalia; Chiroptera; Rhinolophidae. The record is from the annotation of a RefSeq genome assembly.
GGCCAGUUAGCUCAGUUGGUUAGAGCGUGGUGCUUAGAACAUCAAGGUUGCCGGUUCAAUCCCUGCAUGGGCCA